This 486-nucleotide ribosomal RNA is filed under the name uncultured bacterium. RNAcentral's name for it is "partial 16S ribosomal RNA". It matches the Rfam family "Bacterial small subunit ribosomal RNA", at positions 30 to 507 of the family's 1533-position model. The record is from RNAcentral.
AUUGAACGCUGGCGGCAUGCCUUACACAUGCAAGUCGAACGGCAGCACGGGUGCUUGCACCUGGUGGCGAGUGGCGAACGGGUGAGUAAUACAUCGGAACAUGUCCUGUAGUGGGGGAUAGCCCGGCGAAAGCCGGAUUAAUACCGCAUACGAUCUACGGAUGAAAUCGGGGGACCUUCGGGCCUCGCGCUUUUGGGUUUGCCGAUGUCUGAUUAGCUAGUUGGUGGGGUAAAGGCCUACCAAGGCGACGAUCAGUAGCUGGUCUGAGAGGACGACCAGCCACACUGGGACUGAGACACGGCCCAGACUACUACGGGAGGCAGCAGUGGGGAAUGUUGGACAAUGGGCGAAAGCAUGAUCCAGCAAUGCCGCGUGUGUGAAGAAGGCCUUCGGGUUGUAAAGCACUUUUGUCCGGAAAGAAAUCAUUGGCCCUAAUACGGUCGGGGGAUGACGGUACCGGAAGAAUAAGCACCGGCUAACUACGUG